RNAcentral lists this ribosomal RNA (511 nucleotides) under uncultured bacterium. RNAcentral describes it as "bacterial SSU rRNA". It matches the Rfam family "Bacterial small subunit ribosomal RNA", at positions 29 to 526 of the family's 1533-position model. The record is from RNAcentral.
AACGAACGCUGGCGGCGCGUCUUAAGCAUGCAAGUCGAGCGGCAAGAUGGGGUUCGCCCCGUCCCAGAGCGGCGGACUGGUGAGUAACACGUGGGUGACGCACCCUCGGGAUCGGGAUAGCCUGCAGAAAUGCAGGGUAAUACCGGAUGAUGUCCGUGCAGCCGGAAUGCACGGAGGAAAGGGGCUUCGGCCCCGCCGGAGGAACGGCCCGCGGCCCAUCAGCUAGUUGGCGGGGAAAAGGCCCACCAAGGCGAUGACGGGUACCCGGCCUCAGAGGGCGACCGGGCACAUUGGGACUGAGAUACGGCCCAGACUCCUACGGGAGGCAGCAGCUAAGAAUAUUCCGCAAUGGGGGAAACCCUGACGGAGCGACGCCGCGUGGACGAGGAAGGCCGGAAGGUUGUAAAGUCCUUUUCCAGCCGAGGAAGAAGCGGGGGAGGGAAUGCCCCCGCGGUGACUGUAGGCUGGGAAUAAGCACCGGCUAAUUACGUGCCAGCAGCCGCCGUAACAC